RNAcentral lists this ribosomal RNA (497 nucleotides) under uncultured bacterium. Its description in RNAcentral is "partial 16S ribosomal RNA". It matches the Rfam family "Bacterial small subunit ribosomal RNA", at positions 28 to 507 of the family's 1533-position model. The record is from RNAcentral.
GAUGAACGCUGGCGGCGUGCCUAAUACAUGCAAGUCGAGCGAACGGACGAGAAGCUUGCUUCUCUGAUGUUAGCGGCGGACGGGUGAGUAACAAGUGGAUAACCUACUUAUAAGACUGGGAUAACUUCGGGAAACCGGAGCUAAUAACGGAUGAUAUUUUGAACCGCAUGGUUCAAAAGUGAAAGAAGGUCUUGCUGUCACUUAUAGAUGGAUCCGCGCUGCAUUAGCUAGUUGGUAAGGUAACGGCUUACCAAGGCAACGAUGCAUAGCCGACCUGAGAGGGUGAUCGGCCACACUGGAGCUGAGACACGGUCCAGACUCCUACGGGAGGCAGCAGUAGGGAAUCUUCCGCAAUAGGCGAAAGCCUGACGGAGCAACGCCGCGUGAGUGAUGAAGGUCUUCGGAUCGUAAAACUCUGUUAUUAGGGAAGAACAUAUGUUUAAGUAACUGUGCACAUCUUGACGGUACCUAAUCAGAAAGCCACGGCUAACUACGUG